CCUACGGGAGGCAGCAGUGGGGAAUUUUGGACAAUGGGCGAAAGCCUGAUCCAGCAAUGCCGCGUGAGUGAAGAAGGCCUUCGGGUUGUAAAGCUCUUUUGUCAGGGAAGAAACGGUGUGGGCUAAUAUCCCGCACUAAUGACGGUACCUGAAGAAUAAGCACCGGCUAACUACGUGCCAGCAGCCGCGGUAAUACGUAGGGUGCAAGCGUUAAUCGGAAUUACUGGGCGUAAAGCGUGCGCAGGCGGUUUUGUAAGUUUGUCGUGAAAGCCCCGGGCUCAACCUGGGAAUUGCGAUGAAGACUGCAAGGCUUGAAUCUGGCAGAGGGGGGUAGAAUUCCACGUGUAGCAGUGAAAUGCGUAGAGAUGUGGAGGAACACCGAUGGCGAAGGCAGCCCCCUGGGUCAAGAUUGACGCUCAUGCACGAAGGCGUGGGGAGCAAACAGGAUUAGAUACCCUGGUAGUCCACGCCCUAAACGAUGUCUACUAGUUGUCGGGUUUUAAUAACUUGGUAACGCAGCUAACGCGUGAGUAGACCGCCUGGGGAAGUCGGUGCAAGAAUUAAAACGUCAAAUUGAAAUUGAGGCUUGGNGACGNGCGACGGACGACGACGAGGGAGGAGG
RNAcentral lists this ribosomal RNA (622 nucleotides) under uncultured bacterium. RNAcentral's name for it is "bacterial SSU rRNA". The stretch from base 1 to 540 matches the Rfam family "Bacterial small subunit ribosomal RNA", at positions 338 to 873 of the family's 1533-position model. The record is from RNAcentral.